RNAcentral lists this long non-coding RNA (3041 nucleotides) under Sus scrofa (pig). Its description in RNAcentral is "lncRNA (ENSSSCG00000061318.1)". Lineage: Eukaryota; Metazoa; Chordata; Mammalia; Artiodactyla; Suidae. The record is from RNAcentral.
UACUAAAACCAUUCAUUUCACCACAAGUAGCACUUUAGGAAGAGACUGGGAAGAGAUAUGGGUCCCAAGGGUAUUUAUGGAGGUUUAUGCACCCCCUUCCUCCACUGACUCUAUCUAAAUAGUCAUGUUGCCCACGAGCUUCCUGAGAAUAAAAUUUUAAGAUUUAGAUCCUCAGACCAGGGGUAAAAACUUUAUUAGACCACCUCACUCAACUAGAGAUAAUGUCUAUGAACAUGCCUGCAUAAUAUUUAUUUUUCAAAUUGAUUUUGCUAAUUUUUCAAGUCAUUUCUCACCUAGAAAUUACAUGUGUAGUUCAUAAUCAUCAGGAAAUAGGAGGAAACAUCAUAAAAUGGGAGGAAAAUUACAUUUAUGCUCAGAAAUCCUGGCUUUAACACCUAAAUCGUGCAUAUCUUGAUAAUUAUGAUAUCCUGAGCAAGUGAUUUAAUCUUUAUGUUCAUAAAGUUAUUCUCUAUAACUCUAAAAAAUGGGAGAUAGUAAUAGCUUUCCAAUGUAUCAUAAACUUUUGCCUAUACCAAAUGAACAAGUGAAAUCACCAUGUUAUAUGUAAUUGGCUACACAAACAUUUAAACAUCCUUAUUGAGCUCCUUAUUUAUUAUUCACUGCAUUUUUUCCACAGAGGUAUUCACCUCUAGUUUUACUUUCCAAGAAUUAAUAUGAAGAGAAAACAUAGAUGCCUUAUAAGGAGGAUGAAAGAAAUCUGUAGAAAUAAUAGAAAAAUUAACUGAAAAUUUUGAAUGCUACCGUUUUGGCUUGAUUUGGCUUGAGGAGUUAGAAAUAGCAUAGAAUCAGGGGGCCUGACUGUACACAUGUCAGCUUAUAACAUAAACACUUGAAUAAAUGUGAAAUGAAGACAAAAGGUCUUAGUUGACAAAGCAGGGUGGCUGGUGGCAUUUCCUUUAUUUGUUUUGUUUUAUUUUGCUGGAAGAAGAAACUCCAGUGAAUCACUCUGUUUGAAGAACAUCCUUUGUUCACAUAGUCACUUACUUGUUCAAGAUUUUUAUUUUUUUCUUUUUACCUUAUAUUUAUUUAUUUUCUAUGUACAGCAAGGUGACCCAGUUACACAUACAUGUAUACAUUCUUUUUUCUCACAUUAUCCUGCUCCAUCAUAAGUGACUAGACAGUUCCCAGUGCUACAUUUGUUCAAGAUUUUUAAAUUUCCCCAUUUAUUUAAAAUAAACUUAAUCCAUGUUACAGGUCUGUGUCGGAAGAAAGCAGCAGCAGCAGCAAGUUGUCCCCUACCGUAAGGUGAGUAUAAAACAAGUGAUUAACCAUUUUACAUCGUACAUGCAGAUCACUGUUUAAGGAGUACCUAAGAAUUGUUAAUUUGUGAACAAUUUCUUCUGAAUAUUCUUUAUGGAUCUCACUGUAGGUUAUUUUGUAAUAUGAAACAAUAAAACUUGGUUUCAUCAUAGCUCAACCUCUCCUCCCUGACCUACACCAAAGAAGUGAUUUUUGUGCUCCCAUACUAGCACUUAUGAGCACGUAAAUUUUAGGAUUCUUUUUUUUUUCCCUUGAAGAUUGGGAAGGAGCAUUUAUAUCUUUGUUUUUUGUUUGUUUUUUGUUUUUGUUUGUUUUGGGUUUUUUUUUUUUUUUUGUCUUUUUGCCUUUUCUAAGGCCACUCCUGUGGCAAAUGGAGGUUCCCAGGCUAGGGGUCUAAUCGGAGCUGUAGAUGCCAGCCUACUCCAGAGCCACAGCAACACAGGAUCCGAGCCGCGUCUGCCACCUACACCACAGCUCACAGCAACUCGGGAUCCUUAACCCACUGAGCAAGGCCAGGGGUCGAACCUGCAACCUCAUGGUUCCCAGUCAGAUUUGUUAACCACUGUGCCACCACGGGAACUCCAGGAGUACUUAUAUCUUGAUGACAUUUUACAGUCACAUAAAAAGAAGACUGAUAUUAUAAAGAUGUCGGAUGUGCUUAUAGUUAUACUGGUAUCUCAGAAGAAAUUACUAUUAAUAAGAUAGAGCCUUGGAGUUUUGAUUCAUUUUAUUGUCUUAAUUAAUAUGGGAAAGUAAAUUUAGAAAUUUAGGUUAUGGAAUAAUCCAGUACAACAUUUUAUAAAAUUAGCUAUUCCCUCUGUAUUAUCGGUAUGUAAAAAGAGAAUAUAUAUAUAUACAUAUAUAUAUUUUUUCCUAUAGCAUCCAAGAUUCUUUUUCAGGUUCUCUCUUUGUCCUUGCUGUAAAAAGUUGCACCGUAAACAUCCAUGUAACAAAUGCUGAGAUACAUGUCUGAACUGAGGCAAUUCCUAAUUUUAGGAGAAGCGCUGUUAGGUGGACAGUCAGCAUCCUCAUCCUAUUGUCAAGGCAGACUGUCUCAAGUUCUACAACAAGUAGGCAUAUCUCUGCUUUCUAGACAAGACUCUACCUCAGUUCUUUUAACCACUGUGAAAUGCAUAUUAGAGGACAGAGAACAACCAAAUGAAAUUUUUUAUUAUAAUCUUUCUCAAAAAUAUAGAAAAGGAAGAACUAAUUGCCCUCAAAGACAGUGGGUGGAAAGAAAUAAUUAAGAGCUUCUGCUCUUUUCUAAAUGAAAAGGAAAAUAAACAGAAAAAAAAGUAACAAAAAAAGCAGAGACAAAGACUGAUUCUUUUAAAAGAUUAAUAUAAUUGAUAAAAAUUAGCUAGUAGUUCAAAAUAAAAAGAGGAAGUAUGCAAAUGGCCAAUAUCAGGUAAUAAAUUGCAUAUUUUGGAUCUUUUAGACAUUAGAAGAAAAGAAGAUGCCAAUAACCUAAAAUAAAUGUUAAAAAUUUUAGAUGAAGUACAUAUAUUCUUUCCAAACCACAUUUUCCCAUCUUUCCCCAAAAGGGAUGGAGGUACAUUAAAAGUCGUGGCACAGUGGAAACGAAUCUGACUAGGCCUCGCUCAGUGGGUUAAGGAUCCAGCAUUGCCAUGAGCUGUGGUAUGGGUCCCAGAUGCAGCUCAGAUCUAGCAUUGCUGUGGCUGUGGUGCAGGCUAGCAGCUGUAGCUCCAAUUCGACCACUAGCCUAGGAACCUCCAUGUACCUCUGGUGCAGCCCUAAAA